GUCCUCCCCAGCUUGGGUUCUCAGCAAAUCCAAGCUCCGAGUGCUCCUUGCUUCUGAAAAGGCUCGGCGAUCACACGUCACAGACGUGUCUUUCCCUCGGUCAGUCACACAUGUAGGAUGUGAAUGUCAUGUGUACCCUGGGCUGAGAGUCUGAGCAGUUGACGUCCUGUGAUCCCAACUCUCUGCUGAGCCACAUGCGUUCUCUCUUCCCAGGAGUCCCGAGCCUCUCUGGAAAUGGAGCUUGUGCCCACAAUUCACCACCCCUUACCCACAGUCCUACAGCCCAGGAAGCUCUAAGACCAGAAAGCAGCAAACUCGUUUAGCAGCAAACCCUUGGCCUGAACCGAGGCUCUGUCUGGUCUCUGGUGGCCUGUGUGCUUGGCUGCAGGCGCUGCUGUGGACUUCACCGGGCCUGCUCUGCAGCGUCAGGUGUUCGCUUCAGGGAAGGUAGCGCUGGAUUCAGGUGAAAAGGAGUUGCCAACAACCCGCUGGAGCUGACCGAGCUGUUCAUAGCGGCCGGGAGAGGAGCAGUUUGGCCACCGAAGGACAUGCCAUCCUAGGAAGAAAGGGCAGGAAUAUCCCGCACGUGGCAUGCUGAAUAUGUCCCCGGGAUGAAGAAAGAACUCAGGGCCAUCUUUGGCGAGCCCCUGCCUACGCAGAUGUUUCAAGGGACAAGAAGAUUUCUCUGCAGAAGUCCAGCUGGCCUUUGGCACAAGACCUCCCUUACCCUCUGCUGAGCUAUGGGCUGGCAUCAUAAUGCCCAGCCAUCACUCGUGGGCUCUCCGGGUGUCUCUGGGGCAGCCAUCCACCGGAAGGAACUCCUGGGAGAGAGUAUCUACCGUGUCUGCAGGACAUUUCAUUUCCAACUGCCCUGUUGUGAACCACAGCGUACCACCCAGGCCGAGGAAAGGAAGACUGAAGACUUGUCAGUCUGACGGCGAGCUGUCUUGGAAAAGACUACGGAUAAAAAAAAUCUUGAAUUGCUCAGCUAACCAGAUGAUUUCACAUUCUUGCGGCGAGUUCAAGUAUAGUUUCUAACAGCAUUUCUAUAGCCUUCUUCUCUAUCCAUCUUUACAAAUAGUUUCUGAACCUCCCUACGAUACCUGCUUAAACUUAAAUUUAAAAAAAAGCAAAGGGGGAAAAAAGUAGGAAACUGAAAUAUGAGAAAGUGUAGGGAGGGAAAGCAUUUGGAGACUUCAACAUUUUGGCUUUAUGUGAAGUCAUAAGUAAUUUUGAAAUUAGGAUGUAAUGGAAAACAGACAUUAGCACCCUCACCUGGUUAAACCUGGAAGAGGAAAUUGUGCUUGAGAGUCAGGUUGGCACUUUCAGGGACAGUAGCUGAUUUCGGAGAGGAAACACGAGUUACUGAACUACGGGAACGGAUCUGGGACUGGAGGAAAGAGCACAGGAGAGGGACGGAUGGAGGAGGGGUGGGCACAGGGCACCUUCUCCUGGACCAGUGGCUGGGAUGCCGGGUUUCCAAGGAACAGCAAAGCGAUGACCCGGCACUACCCAGGAUGUGCUCAUUGCCAGGGGACACCCAAGACACAAACAACUGUGCAGCUACACGAAGCGGACACAGGUGAAGAGGGCUCUGUCAGUGGGAACGCCGCUGGGGUGGGCGGGAGUGAGAAUCUGUGGGUCUCAGCACCCUGGGGUGGGCGGGAUUGAGAAUCUGAGGGUCUCAGCGCCCUGGGGUGAAUCCUCCCUUUUCUCCAGAUCGGGGUCAACUGGAGCAAACGGCCACCUUUGGCUCAAAGUGCUUCUCCAGCGAAUGGACCCCCCAUGGUUUUAUGGAAAAGAGACUCCAAUACACCAACCAGACACCACAAUACCAAUCGAGAGUGAUUCUUAUUCCUUAUGGGUGCUGUUGCAUUAAAAUAGGCUUGUUUAUUUUCAUCGCA
This is a long non-coding RNA of Myotis brandtii (Brandt's bat), 1904 nucleotides long. RefSeq lists it as uncharacterized. The transcript is spliced from 5 exons. The record is from RefSeq and is a predicted model, not a curated record. Lineage: Eukaryota; Metazoa; Chordata; Mammalia; Chiroptera; Vespertilionidae.